Molecule: ribosomal RNA, 442 nt
Filed under: uncultured Bacillota bacterium
Lineage: Bacteria; Bacillati; Bacillota
Description: bacterial SSU rRNA
Rfam family: Bacterial small subunit ribosomal RNA
Source: RNAcentral
CCUACGGGCGGCUGCAGUGGGGAAUAUUGGGCAAUGGGGGGAACCCUGACCCAGCAACGCCGCGUGAGGGAAGAAGGUUUUCGGAUUGUAAACCUCUGUUCUUGGGGAAGAGUGAAAGACGGUACCCAAGGAGGAAGCCCCGGCUAACUACGUGCCAGCAGCCGCGGUAAUACGUAGGGGGCGAGCGUUGUCCGGAAUGAUUGGGCGUAAAGGGCGCGUAGGCGGCUUUGCAAGUCAGUAGUGGAAGUCCAUUUUUCAAGGAUGGAAGUGCUACAGAAACUGCGGAGCUUGAGUGCAGGAGAGGUUAUCGGAAUUCCCGGUGUAGCGGUGAAAUGCGUAGAGAUCGGGAGGAACACCAGUGGCGAAGGCGGGUAACUGGACUGCAACUGACGCUGAGGCGCGAAAGUGUGGGGAGCAAACAGGAUUAGAUACCCUUGUAGUC